GCUUAGAUGCCGCCAUUUCACAUGAAAGCAGCGCGGUAGGGAUGACGACUAGUGCAAAACAAUUAAAAACACCAGCUAGAAUUUGAACCAAAUUCGCCAACUGGAGAUUUAUAAACUAACAGCAACCGUUUACUUAACAAUAGGGCCUAACGAGUUUCGACUUAACAGUCCGGCUGUCUUGCUAGGAGACGAAAACAUGAGCUACGGAAGGGCGCCGCCAGACGUUGAGGGUAUGACCUCCCUGAAAGUGGACAACCUGACUUACCGAACUUCGCCGGAGACUCUGCGCCGAGUUUUUGAGAAGUACGGCCGUGUGGGAGAUGUGUAUAUCCCCCGAGACAGGUACACCAAGGAGAGCCGCGGGUUCGCCUUUGUGCGGUUCCUCGACAAGCGCGACGCCGAGGACGCCAUGGAUGCUAUGGACGGAGCGCUGCUUGACGGGCGGGAGCUUCGGGUGCAGAUGGCCCGCUACGGACGACCUCCGGACUCCAUGUACAGCAGGAGAGGUGCUCCGCCACGCAGAUACGGAGGCGGGUACGGCGGACGCAGAAGCAGGAGCCGUUCAGGAAGCCCUCGUCGCCGCAGACGUAGCCGCAGCCGCUCCAGGAGCAGAAGCCGUUCUCGAUCUAGGAGCCACCACCACUACAGCCGCUCCAGGUCUCACUCUGACUCCAGAUCUAGGUCCAAGUCUAAAUCCAAGUCCAGGACCCCCAGACGGAGCAAGACAAAGUCUCCCUCCAGGUCUCGGUCCUCCAAGUCAAGGAGUCGAACCCCGCCUUCCAACAGAGGGUCCAAAUCCAGGUCCCGCUCCAAAUCCAAGAGUAGGCCUAAAUCUCCAGAGGACAACGAGGCAAUGACUUAAUCCAGACAUGGACACAACAUGACGGUAUUCAUGGGAAAGGGUGGAUUAUAUUAUUUGCUUCAAAUAUAUGAGAUGGCUAUCUGUCAUCACUUGGGUUAUUAUUCUGCAGGCUUGGUGCUAUUAACAGUCAUUUGCACACAAGCAACAAAGUCUGCAGAAUCCUGAAUAUUUUAUUUAAAAUAAGAUUGGGGCUGAUCUAGUCAACAGUCCUAGUUCUGUGUGUCCUUUACUUUGCGUGUACGUUCAGCAAAUCCAAAGCGCACACAGACAUGAGAUUUGGGUUAAUGUGACCUACAGUAUACUUUAAAAUGGGGAAUGUAUGGGAGGGUUCUUCACUCAAAACGUUCACCUAAAUGUGGAAUUUUUUCCUCCAAGCUGCUGAGUCCUGUUUGCAAAGAGAGGAGGAGGAGAUGGGGGUGUGGCAGUGUGAGAGCAGUUAGUGUGUGACCCGCCCAUGUGACCUGCCUGUUGCUGAGAGCGAUGGCAGUUGCUAAGAAGCAGGUCACCAAGGCAACGGUGGUUGCUAUGGAGCAGGUCGUCAUGGCGGUGGUUCGGGCUGUCAGUUGGUGUAUGAGGUGGUGUGGUGAGGUACGUUCGCGGGAAUCACAGGCAGAUGCACUGAGCACUGUUCCCACCUGUGCCUGUGGGUUCCUCCGCCUCUCACAAAGGGAACCGAGAUCUCAGAUGAUUGAGCCUUUGCUGAGGACAUCAGGAAGAGUCUCACAUUGAGCAAGUGGACUCCACUAUUACCACUGAAUGCAGACUGAAAGGUUAUUGGAGUUUGGUCUAAAAUGUUUUAAAUUUGACUUAAGUUAACAUAAACAAAUUCUGUGACUUUGAUGUGAUCAUUGUUUGUAAAGUUGAGCUUUUUGAAAAGAAUGUUAGAUUUUUUUUUUUCUCAAUUAAAUUGGGUUUUUUAUAUUUUGAUUACAUGUGUACUUUUUUUUUUUUUUAAUUACCAUAGAUUUAUUUUAAUAAAAUCCCUUGUUUAACACUUUCUAGAUGGAUAUGAGUUUUAUUUGCAGGGUGUCAUGUUGGAUGUUCAAAGCCUUGACAGCUAUGUUAUACCACUCUUUUUUUCUUUUGAAAAAUGGCCCACUGUUUAGUGACAUAAAAGCAAAACA
Sander lucioperca (pikeperch) is the source of this 1986-nucleotide RNA transcript. It is a transcript of the gene named serine and arginine rich splicing factor 2a, with no coding region annotated. NCBI's taxonomy places the organism in Eukaryota, Metazoa, Chordata, Actinopteri, Perciformes, Percidae. The record is from RefSeq and is a predicted model, not a curated record. The transcript is spliced from 3 exons.